GACGCAGGCCAAGCAGUCGCGGAGGUGGAACGACCUUCGAGGAAAGUCCGGACAUCGCAGGGCAGGGUGGUCGGUAACGCCGACCCGGGGAAACCCGCGGGAAAGUGCCACAGAAAAGACACCGCCUAAGCCUGGAGCCGCUGCAGAGCUUCAGGCCGGCAAGGGUGAAAUGGUGCGGUAAGAGCGCACCGGCGUCGCGGUGACGCGGCGGCCAGGUAAACCCCACCCGAUGCUAGGCCAAGCAGGACCGUUCGUAGGUGGCCCGCCAAGGUCCGGGUAGGCCGCGCAGAUGGAUGACUGCUCACGACAGGAUCCGGCUUACCGGCCUGCUACGGAG
Molecule: RNase P RNA, 337 nt
Filed under: Solirubrobacterales bacterium
Lineage: Bacteria; Bacillati; Actinomycetota; Thermoleophilia; Solirubrobacterales
Description: RNase P RNA component class A
Rfam family: Bacterial RNase P class A
About the family: Ribonuclease P (RNase P) is a ubiquitous endoribonuclease, found in archaea, bacteria and eukarya as well as chloroplasts and mitochondria. Its best characterised activity is the generation of mature 5'-ends of tRNAs by cleaving the 5'-leader elements of precursor-tRNAs.
Source: RNAcentral